RNAcentral lists this non-coding RNA (27 nucleotides) under Mus musculus (house mouse). The record is from RNAcentral. Lineage: Eukaryota; Metazoa; Chordata; Mammalia; Rodentia; Muridae.
UGGAAAUAACACUGCCUUCUGCUGAGG